GAUACAGUAUAUCCGGGCAUUCUUGGAGACAACAAAGGCCGCCAUUUUGGAAAUUGCAACAUUGAAUCGUUAUUGUUGGUUAAGAGUUAACAUGUAAAUGUGUCAAAGUGACAGUUAUCUCUUGAGCACGAAUAAUGUGAAUAUGUUCUUUUCCAAUAUAAGAAACGCAAUGGCACGAAUAGAAUUUUGAAUGGCGACACUGUUCACAAUGUAAUAGAUUGGUCGAUCGAGAUCGAUUCCUCGUCUUUGUUCAAUGUUUGAUUGAAAAGUUCAAUAAUUUGGACAAACUUGGACAUGAAGUAUGAGGGAAAUUACUAAAUAUUGUCUAGUGAUUUGGUAUGCAACAGUUGUAACAACUGCUUCUGCUUCAUUAUAUUGUGAAUAUUAUAAUGAAACACUUUGCAAUAGUAAUAGUCUUGGUCUAGGCUGUAAUGGAACUGAGGAAUGUAAACCUAAUGAGGACAUCAAAAAGAACUUGUGUUAUAUUUUAUGGCAAAACAGCAGUGAUGGACUUAGUAUUAAACUCAAAGGUUGUUGGGUUGGAAAUCAUCGUGAUUGUAGCAGUGAAACACCUUGCAUGGAGACUCGUAGAGAAUCAAAACUACAGUUAUUCUUUUGUUGUUGCGAAGGAGAUUUAUGUACAAGACAUAUGAAUCCAUCCUCCCUUAUUCUUUUAUCUUCAAUGACUGCAGCUGCUAAACCAAUAACAAGUAUACCCAUUAAGUUAACCAGCAGUGGUAGUCAAGUUAUUAGUAUUUUGAUGUGUACACUGAUUCCAUUUGUGGGGCUAACUCUAAUAACUGUUGUAGCUUAUUGGGUCUAUAGAAAUCAUAGAAUGUUAUAUUUUAAUGAAGUACCAACAGCUGAAUCAUUAGUAUCACCACUACCAUCACCAUUGUUGGGUUCUCAUCCAAUUCAGCUGAUAGAAGUCAAGGCCCAAGGAAGAUUUGGAUCUGUCUGGAAAGCACGUAUUCUAAAUGUAAAUGUGGCAGUAAAAAUAUUUCCUCCACAGGAUAAAAAUUCUUGGUUUGUGGAGCAAGAAAUUUAUAGAUUACCCCAAAUGAAACAUGAAAAUAUAUUGACAUGGAUGGGAGUAGAAAAGCAUGGAGAUAGUAUGCAUUCAGAAUAUUGGUUAAUUACAGCAUAUCAUGAGAAAGGUUCUCUUUGUGAUUAUUUAAAGGCGAAUCUUAUCACUUGGAAGGAACUUUUGAGUAUUGCCAUAUCUAUAGCAAAAGGUCUUACUCAUUUACAUGAAGAAUUACCCCCACGUAAAGGUGAAGGAUAUAAGCCAUCUAUUGCCCAUAGAGAUUUCAAGAGUAAAAAUGUACUAUUAAAACGAGAUAUGACUGCUUGUAUAGCAGACUUUGGUCUUGCUCUUGUAUUUUAUCAAGGCCAAUCACCAAGAGAUGCACAAGGACAGGUUGGUACACGACGUUACAUGGCUCCAGAAGUUUUAGAAGGAGCUGUAAAUUUUAACAAGGAUGCUUUUUUGAGAAUAGAUAUGUAUGCCUGUGGAUUAGUUCUGUGGGAAUUGAUAUCACGAUGUUGUGCCCAAGAAGGUCCAGUAGGCGAAUAUUUAUUACCAUUUGAAGAAGAAAUAGGACAGCAUCCUACACUUGAGGAUAUGCAAGAAGUGGUGGUUCAAAAGAAAUUUAGACCAAAAUUCAAUAAAGAUUGGAAAAAAUAUCCAGGAUUAGCAGCUGUCUGUGAUACAGCUGAAGAUUGUUGGGAUCAUGAUGCUGAAGCAAGAGUAUCUGCUAGUUGUGUAUUAGAAAGGCUUUCAUUAUUAACUAAGUCUCAGUCAUCAAUAUCUACCAAUAAUAUAUCUACAGUGCCAGAGCCACAAAGGAAUGCAUCUACCUCAAAUAUAAAAUCUUCAGCUCCAGUGUCAGAAAUUGAUACAGAAACACCACAAGAAUCUACUAUUUGAUUAAUUCUUCUAGAGAUUGUAAAGGAUUUUUUCAAAUCCUUUCAUUUCUCGACAACCCAUGUCAUAAAUUAAUUUUAAAAAUGUUGUAUGUACAAAGAACCUGUUCUGUGGAUGAUUAUUAGUCUGUCUUUGCAACAUUCCCCUCAUACAAGUAACCCAUUAAUCUUCCUGUGCCUUCUCAUCAUUUUGUAGUACAAGGAAAUUUUUUUAUCUCCCAGAGUACAAAGUAAGAAGUACAAAUAACAUAGAAGAGAAAAUUUGAAAUAAAUUUGGAAAGAAAUGGUAUCUUAUUGCAUUGAUUAUUGUAAUAGAAAUUAUUUUACAUACAGUAGAAUUUGUGUUUUAACAUAUUUUAAACAGUAAAGGCUGGUUUAUAGUCCUUGACAUUGUUCCAUCAUAUCCAUUGACUAUAUUCCAUUUUGUUAUAACAUUUGUAGUGUCAAUGGUCACAUUCCACAUUAUCAUUGGCUUGAUGCUGGACCUCAUAAUGGUCUAAUAGAAAGUUCAGUUCAAACUUGAUAUUCUUCUGUUGAUCAAGAACCAAUAGAAUUGUGAAAUGGUAUCACAUUCUGUAUUUGAUGUGAAGUACUCAAUUGGCUCAUCUCUUACAAAUGUAACGUGGAGAAUAUUUGAGAUUUGUAUGAUAAAUUGUACAACAAAUGCUGAAAAGAAUCAUGUAAUUUUAUAUAAAACUUGAAUUUAAAAGGGUAAAAAAAAAUAAACACUUGUAAAGUUUUUAUAUAUAUUACAAGUGAUUUGUUUCCUGGAGUAAUAGAUAAAAAUUAAGUAUAUAAAAUAGACCUAAUAAAUAAUUUCAUUAUGUCAAAUUUAUUUAUGAUAGAUAUUAUUCUGUUAUUACUGUUGUUUAUUUUAACAAAAAUAAAUAACAGUAAAUUUUGAAUAUAUCUACAUUUUGGAACAAGGAAUAUGUUUACAUCAUGUAUCGAAUUGCAAGUAUCAUGCAAGUAUCGAAUUGGACUACAAACUACAACUACUACAGAUUCAUAACUGUCAAAUAUUCUAUGAACUGUUGAACUACAACAGAACAUUGUUCAGGGAACUUCAGUACACCUUAGCAAAAUUGCAACAUCUAACAGAAGUGGAUUAUAAAUCAGUCUUAAUAUUCUGAUUUUAAUUCAAAAAAAUUUUAAUAUCUGAAUUUCUCUUCAUUAAUUUAGUCUUUCAUUUGCCAACAGAUAAUGGAUGUCACAAAAAUUUUCACUACUAAUUGCUAUCAUGUGAUAAAAUGAUUGGGAAAAAUAUAUCUAUAGAAAAACAAUUUAUGAAAUAAUCGAUUUAUUUAGAUCUUGAUAAAAUUAAUUUUGAAUUAGUCUUAAAUUUUAUUUUUAUUUUACCAUAUCAUUAUUUAAAUAUUUUAAUGAAACUUGUAUAAUUUUGAAAUAGUAACUUUCUUUUUCCUAGCUAUAUCAGUUCCGAAUGAAUGAAUGAAUAAAUAAACUAAUAAUACUUUUUAUUACAUUUUUAAGUUUAUGUUGAUUUAUAAAUACAGUAGAGCAUUGAUUAUCCAAAUACCGAUCAACCAAAACAUCAGUUAAAAGAAAACAUUCCAAUCGGCAAAUUCAAAUUUCUGCUAGUGCUGUGGCACUGCAGCAUUCUCUCCCUCCCUGCCAACUUAAACUAUAGUCCUACUUUAAUGUACUACUUUAUGUAAAGUAUGUAAGGUAUUUGUAAGACAUGUGAUACAAUAUAUAUACAGUACAGUUUUGUAUUUAAUAUAUUUUUUCAUAAAUGAUCAAUUAUCCUAACAACUCCAGUCCCAAAUUGUUUCAGAUAAUGCUCUACUGUAGUAAAUUUAUUUUAUGAUAUAAAAAUCAACAUCUUUAAUGCAUUGGCAAUUUAUAUGAUUUUUUACUAAUGUAAUCUUUCAUUAAUGAUGCAGUGAAACACAAAUUAAAAGUUUCAAAUUUAAUAUACAAUGGUGCCUUGUACUUUGAAUGCUAAAUUGAGAGAAAUUCAAUCUGGAAUUUGAAUGAUGCUUCUAUGUUUGAACUGUGUGUGCAGUGGAAAAAUGUUCUCUCUGCAUAAAAACAAUCUGUUUCAUGUGUAAGUCAUCUCUUGUUCUCAUUGUGAAAGCAUCUGUUGCAUUACUCAUGUUUUCAGUGCUUUUUUUCACUUUAUAUAUAACCAAACACA
Molecule: RNA transcript, 4084 nt
Organism: Centruroides sculpturatus (bark scorpion)
Lineage: Eukaryota; Metazoa; Arthropoda; Arachnida; Scorpiones; Buthidae
Gene: put
Gene name: activin receptor type-2A-like
Exons: 11
Source: RefSeq, a predicted model, not a curated record